UGGAGAGGCAGUGAGGGCACGUGGAAGGAACAGUCCUGCAUCAGUAAGUUUUAUCUCCAGCACAUAAAUGACUGAGAUGUCUGUUCCAGUUAAGAACAAAGCUGGUUGCUUCUCUUCCUCAAGACCUUGUGUAGCCUCAUGGUUCCUGCUGUGGGUAAGAAGCUGGAUUAUAAUGGUAUGCCAGAUUCUCUGGGUCUAAGGAUCUGGCCUUUUUUCCUGGAAGAAUGUUCCUUACAGAAGAAGGAAUAUUUCCCAACUCAUUUAAUGAGGCCAACAUUAUUCUGAUACCAAAACUAUACAAAAGCAUUACAAGGAAAGAGAACUACAGACCAUUAUUCCUGAUGUACAGUUUCCUGGAGCUGAGGUGGGGUGACACAAGCACCCCUGUGACCACCACCACUGGGACAGCACUGAGUCUCACUCAAGCCUCGUGGUAACCACUGCCUGUACUGCCUGCUUUUCGUUGAAGACUUCCUUGAGUUAUCUUUUUGGUCCAUAUUACAAAGAACUUUUUGUACUCUCCCUCCUUCUACCACCUUAUGCUCCUCUCUCUUUCCCCAUUUGAUUUACCUAUUCUGCUUCUCAGCAAUUAACCUUCUUUUCUUGUAGGUACUCUGAUAUAGUUUGGAUGUUCCCUCUAAAUCUUAUAUAAUUUCCAGUGUUGGAAGUGGGCAUGGUGGGAGGUAUUUAAAUCAUGGGGGUGGAUUUCUUAUGAAUAGUUUAGCCCCAUCCACUUGGUGCUGUCUAUGUGAUAGUGAGUGAGUUCUCAUGAAAUCUGGUCUUAAAAGUGUGUGGUACCUUCCCCCUACUCUCUCUCACUUGCUCCCAUUCUCGCUAUGUGAGACUGUGUCCCCCCUUCACCUUCUGCCAUGUUUGAAAGCUCCCUGAGGCUUCACUAGAAGCCCAGCUGAUGCCAACACCAUGCUUCCUGUAAAGCCCACAGAACCAUUAGCCAAUUAAACCCCCUUUCUUUAUAAAUUACCCAGUCUCAGGUAUUUCUUUAUAGCAAUGCAAGAAAGGAUUAAUACAUACUCCCAACUCAUCUGUUUAAUA
Molecule: long non-coding RNA, 1053 nt
Filed under: Homo sapiens (human)
Lineage: Eukaryota; Metazoa; Chordata; Mammalia; Primates; Hominidae
Description: HSALNT0021223
Source: RNAcentral